AUUGAACGCUGGCGGCAUGCCUUACACAUGCAAGUCGAACGGCAGCACGGGAGCAAUCCUGGUGGCGAGUGGCGAACGGGUGAGUAAUAUAUCGGAACGUGCCCAGUCGUGGGGGAUAACGCAGCGAAAGCUGUGCUAAUACCGCAUACGAUCUAUGGAUGAAAGCGGGGGACCGCAAGGCCUCGCGCGAUUGGAGCGGCCGAUAUCAGAUUAGCUAGUUGGUGGGGUAAAGGCCCACCAAGGCGACGAUCUGUAGCUGGUCUGAGAGGACGACCAGCCAGACUGGAACUGAGACACGGUCCAGACUCCUACGGGAGGCAGCAGUGGGGAAUUUUGGACAAUGGGCGAAAGCCUGAUCCAGCAAUGCCGCGUGCAGGAUGAAGGCCUUCGGGUUGUAAACUGCUUUUGUACGGAACGAAACGGUGAGCUUUAAUACAGUUUGCUAAUGACGGUACCGUAAGAAUAAGCACCGGCUAACUACGUGCCAGCAGCCGCAGUAA
RNAcentral lists this ribosomal RNA (500 nucleotides) under uncultured bacterium. RNAcentral's name for it is "partial 16S ribosomal RNA". It matches the Rfam family "Bacterial small subunit ribosomal RNA", at positions 30 to 523 of the family's 1533-position model. The record is from RNAcentral.